RNAcentral lists this ribosomal RNA (279 nucleotides) under uncultured bacterium. Its description in RNAcentral is "partial 16S ribosomal RNA". It matches the Rfam family "Bacterial small subunit ribosomal RNA", at positions 506 to 784 of the family's 1533-position model. The record is from RNAcentral.
UGCCAGCCGCCGCGGUAAUACGAAUGGAGCGAGCGUUGUUCGGAAUCACUGGGCGUAAAGCGUAUGUAGGCGGACUUGAAAGUCAGAAGUGAAAUCCCGGGGCUCAACCUCGGAAUUGCUUUUGAAACUUCAAGUCUGGAGUUCAGGAGAGGUUAGCGGAAUACCGAGUGUAGAGGUGAAAUUCGUAGAUAUUCGGUGGAACACCAGUGGCGAAGGCGGCUAACUGGACUGAUACUGACGCUGAGGUGCGAAAGUGUGGGGAGCAAACAGGAUUAGAUA